UAGCGUGUUGUAACUGAAUGUUAUUCUUUUUUCUAAACGGUGUUGUUGAUUUGUAUAAGUUAAAUUUUACAAUUCGAAAUGGAAAUUGAAAAUAUAGAUCGCAAAGGUACCAAACGAACCAGGUCCGUGAAUUAUAGCGUCGAAGACUGCCUAAAACUGGUGGACCUUAUCCGUCCACUAAAAAAUAUUAUCGAAAACAAAAAAACUGAUGCUGUCCAGUGGACGGAAAAAAACAAAGCAUGGGACAGUAUAUGUACGAGGUAUAAUAGUAUCACGACCCAGUCUAGAACGACAAAAGAAUUGAGGCAGAAGUACGAAGCCCUCAAACGUGAUGCUAGGAAAGACUCUGCUUUGCGGCGACAGGCCUUAUUGCAAACUGGAGGCGGACCAGGAAUUGAAAUAAAAAAUAACAUCGUACUGGAGAAAAUAAAAGAACUCCUCCAGCUUUCUGCUGACGGAUUGAGCAGCAUUUUCGACUGCGACCGGAUAUGCGAUGCACAAGUUUCUGUAGCAACUGUUGAACCAGGUGAGGUGCAGGAAGAAAUUUUGGAAACCUUAGAGGUACGUUAAAAAAAAAUGCAGCUAUCCCUAAGAACAAGGUAAUGAGUGUGAAGCAAUACUGAAAAUUUUAUAAAGUGGUCUUAAGUGUUUGCUAUAUGUAAAAGUUCAUUUAGUCUAAUAUUUAUACAUUUCUUUUAACAUUGCAGUUUGAAUGUCUUUGGAAACUUGUUAUUGUAUGUAUAUAACCUGAAAAGUACUUACGUUUUAGAAAAAAUUUUAAUUAUCUGUUCAGCUGUAGCAACUGUUCCGUUUGAGGUAGACAGUUUUUAAAUAGCCUAGUGUGUAUUGAUACUAUCCUUCGGUGUGACAGAUUUUAAUAUUUCAAGGAAGCAUAACGUACUAAGUAGUGCUUGAUUUUUGAGAACAUUCUGAAAACGAGCAUUUUUAUUGAACUCCAAUAUUGUUGUGACAUCCUCUUGUGUGUCUGUUUUUCUGAAAUGUCGCUGCUAGUUAAUUUAGAAUAAAAUGCAACAAAUAAUUUUUGUGUUAUUGGUCACAGGAAAGUAGCGCAACUCGGUAGUUACCUUGCCAAAUUGUAAAGUUUAUCUUAUUUUUAUUAGCCUCCUUACAUGCAUGUAAAGUUCACCUUCGCUACCCCACAUUGGCCGUUGCUAACAGUUACUUCUCGCUAUGUCAAAAGACUUGCAUAACUCUACUGGACUGCUGCUUUAAGCUUUUAAAUUUACUCUGCCCAAUCUUGCCUGGUCCGUUUUUUCCUCGUGGCCACUGCAGCUUCCUCUCCACGAAUAAUGCAGACUCUUCGGCUUAUCAUGUAGCAGCGUGAUUCCCACCGUUAUAUUUGCUUCUCACUAUGCAUAGUAUUUAUUACCCGUAUUUAAGAUUGCACAUUUACAUAUUUAAUUUAAUUAUUAAUCAUCUGAAACUGCAAAACACUUACCUUAAUGAAUUAAAAUACCAAAAUUCUUAUAUCACACUUGUUUGCCAAAUUAGGCCCAUCUCAAUGUAUAUCAAAGUGUUCAGUAUACUAUAUUAUGUGGAUUAUGUAACAAUGCAUUAAUUUAAGUUUUUUUUAUUAUUAUUAUUUAAACUAGGAAAUUGCAGAAAAAGCUUCAUGCUGGGAACAUUUACGAGAGGAAGAUUACUACGAAACUGUGGAACUGCAAGGUGUACCUGAUAGUACAUUGGCAACUGCGUCAGUCAUCUCUGCCACAGGAAAUUCGGAGAGAGAAACAGAUGACUGGUCAUCCUACAAGCCAUCCAUGCUGAGAAAAGCAAAAAAUUGUAAACUGAAGGAGAAAAUUGCUGCAUCACACGAUGAAUCGGAACGUUUAACUCCAAAUGUGCACUGUCUGGGGAAGCUUGCCUGGCCAGCAACACUUUUUUCCACGCAGAUGCAUGAAAAUCGUCAAGAAGUAUGCAGAGGAAACGGCCUGCAUUCCAUGACCGGCCAUUAUCAAUGAAUGGGGAGCGGCUCAGCGGUUGGGCAACGGAG
RNA transcript from Bacillus rossius redtenbacheri, 2014 nucleotides. It is a transcript of the gene named fibrinogen silencer-binding protein-like, with no coding region annotated. Lineage: Eukaryota; Metazoa; Arthropoda; Insecta; Phasmatodea; Bacillidae. The record is from RefSeq and is a predicted model, not a curated record. The transcript is spliced from 7 exons.